Venturia effusa is the source of this 90-nucleotide non-coding RNA. The record is from the annotation of a GenBank genome assembly. Lineage: Eukaryota; Fungi; Ascomycota; Dothideomycetes; Venturiales; Venturiaceae.
GACCGUGUAGCUCAGUUGGUUAGAGCGUGGUGCUAAUAUCUCCCCGUGGGUGUGACGCCAAGGCCGCGAGUUCGACCCUCGUCAUGGUCA